Molecule: ribosomal RNA, 253 nt
Filed under: uncultured bacterium
Lineage: Bacteria
Description: partial 16S ribosomal RNA
Rfam family: Bacterial small subunit ribosomal RNA
Source: RNAcentral
UACGUAGGGAGCAAGCGUUGUCCGGAAUCAUUGGGCGUAAAGCGCGCGUAGGCGGCCCUGUAAGUCCGCUGUGAAAGUCAAAGGCUCAACCUUUGAAAGCCGGUGGAUACUGCAGGGCUAGAGUCCGGAAGAGGCGAGUGGAAUUCCUGGUGUAGCGGUGGAAUGCGCAGAUAUCAGGAGGAACACCAAUAGCGAAGGCAGCUCGCUGGGACGGUACUGACGCUAAGGCGCGAAAGCCAGGGGAGCAAACGGG